AGGGACCUGGUAAUUUGAGCUCUUCAAAUGCUAAUGGAGAUCUUGAAAUGAAAGAAGUUCUACUGGAGUUGGACGUGUCUCAAGGAAGAGAGAAGAAAGAUGUUUCUAAGUGCAGGACAAUAUUCCUGUUCUCAUGGAGGUUUCCAGGAGGAUUAAAUGUGUUUCUCUCAGUGAUGGGCCUGGAACUGCAGCUGACGCAUGCGUAUGGUAACCAUGGAGCUGCCUACACCAGUGGUCAACAGAACACCUCAGGUGAGCAACCUGGAAAGCUGAUCUGAAACACAGAGGACUGUCGUGGUGCUCAUGUUGUAUGCAGCCGGAGCCUAAAAGAUGGUGCCGGGCUCCAAUACACCGUCGCCGUAAAUAAUACCACUGCGCAGGCGCUAGCCUGAAUCUGGCGCCAACCCCUCCCAAGCGGGUGCAUGCAAAUUAAGGUGCCGGCAG
Mus musculus (house mouse) is the source of this 444-nucleotide long non-coding RNA. RefSeq annotates it as predicted gene, 40607. The record is from RefSeq and is a predicted model, not a curated record. The transcript is spliced from 3 exons. Lineage: Eukaryota; Metazoa; Chordata; Mammalia; Rodentia; Muridae.